This 124-nucleotide small nucleolar RNA is filed under the name Echinops telfairi (small Madagascar hedgehog). RNAcentral's name for it is "Small nucleolar RNA SNORA61 (ENSETEG00000025618.1)". The record is from RNAcentral. Lineage: Eukaryota; Metazoa; Chordata; Mammalia; Afrosoricida; Tenrecidae.
CACUCCCUAUUUCCCUUAUUCAUCAUACCUACACACUGCUCAGAAUGGUUAUAAAAGGAAGAAAAGUAAAAUAGAAACAGACGCCAAUGCUCUUGUGGUCCAUGAGCUCUUUUCUCACAACUGG